Non-coding RNA from Apis mellifera (honey bee), 75 nucleotides. The record is from RefSeq and is marked provisional. NCBI's taxonomy places the organism in Eukaryota, Metazoa, Arthropoda, Insecta, Hymenoptera, Apidae.
AUCGAGUUUGAGCGAUGAGACUAGAUCUUGGCUUCGAUUCAACGUCAAUGACUGGUUUUCAUGGUGCUUGAACUG